Molecule: long non-coding RNA, 1025 nt
Filed under: Salvator merianae (Argentine black and white tegu)
Lineage: Eukaryota; Metazoa; Chordata; Lepidosauria; Squamata; Teiidae
Description: lncRNA (ENSSMRG00000011441.1)
Source: RNAcentral
GGCGAUCUCCUGAAAACACAGCUGCAUGGGGAUGGCUGGGGGAAUGGGUGAUGAGUCUGAGGCUGGUGAAGGCAGNAGCAGCCUGGCAACUUCCGUAUAAUGGUAUUGCUGCAUUAACUUAUACUUCCCCUGCUUUUUGUUUUUGCUGCUUUUACCUGAUCUCAAGCUUAAGUAGAAUUGAAGGUCUUUAAAAAGAAAGAAGAGAUCAGUCUUUUUCAGAAGAAGCCUUUUCAGGGCUUGAAAAUGUGGUGGACCACCUAAAUUUUCACUUGGUUGCCACUGCCUAGCAGAUGGCUGCAUUUUUUAGGCCUGUACAUAUGCUUUUAAUUAUUUUGGGUUGCAUUCAGCUUCAUAUUGGAGGACAUGCAGCUUCUUUUUCAUUAUGAUCUGGAUUGUAAGAGAUCAUUAUGAGAAAUUCUUUGGCUGUAACAGAGUUAACGUUGCUCGUUUUUUUCCCCUCAAUGGCAGGUGGAUGUCACAAGCUGUCUGGGUUUUUUCUGUAUCCUGGCCAUUAUCCUUUCUGUGACUGGUAUCUUCGCUGUCAUCAUCCUGGCCCUCAAUUAUAUAUACUGGCUUCACAUGCUGUAUGCAGCUGUUUCUGCCAUUGCCUUCACCCUGUUCCUUGCUUAUGAUACUCAGUUAUUACUGGGGCACAGGAAGUAUGCAAUCAGUCCAGAAGACUACAUUUUCGGAGCUAUUCAGAUCUAUGUGGAUAUUAUCUGCAUUUUCCUCUCUGUCACACAACUUUUAAGCAGCAAUUAGGAUUCAGGACGCUUAUGCUCUUCUUUUGUGGUUUGGGGAAAAUAUUAUUUUCUAACACCGAGUCCUUUAUUUUCCGCUCAUAUGACACAGCUUUUUGCAGGAGUCCUGUAAUAACAAAAGAGAUACAAAAUUCCUAUAUAUUCCACUGUCCUGACUUUUCUGUAUAGCAUACUGUGAAAGUCAUCUUUCAGUAGUGAACUUUACAGACCUUUCAACAGUAUAUAUUNAAUAAAGUUUUUUCCUUGACUGUUUCUAAAUGCUUA